UUCCGGUUGAUCCUGCCGGACCUGACUGCUAUCGGAUUGAUACUAAGCCAUGUGAGUCAUUGUAGCAAUACAAGGCAGACGGCUCAGUAACACGUAGUCAAUCUACCCUAUGGACGGGGAUAACCUCGGGAAACUGAGGAUAACACCCGAUAGAUCAUAAUGCCUGGAACGGUUUAUGGUCCAAACGAUUCGUCGCCGUAGGAUGGGACUGCGGCCUAUCAGCUUGUUGGUGAGGUAAUGGCCCACCAAGGCUAUUACAGGUACGGGCUCUGAGAGGAGAAGCCCGGAGAUGGGUACUGAGACACGGACCCAGGCCCUAUGGGGCGCAGCAGGCGAGAAACCUUUGCAAUGUGCGCAAGCACGACAAGGUUAAUCCGAGUGUUUCCUGCUAAAGGAAUCUUUUGUUAGUCGUAAAACCACUAUCGAAUAAGGGGUGGGCAAGUUCUGGUGUCAGCCGCCGCGGUAAAACCAGCACCUCAAGUGGUCAGGAGGAUUAUUGGGCCUAAAGCAUCCGUAGCCUGUUCUAUAAGUUUCCGGUUAAAUCCAUUAGCUCAACUAAUGGGCUGCCGAAAAUACUGUAGAACUAGGGAGUGGGAGAGGUAGACGGUAUUCGGUAGGAAGGGGUAAAAUCCUUUGAUCUAUUGAGGACCACCUGUGGCGAAGGCGGUCUACCAGAACACGUUCGACGGUGAGGGAUGAAAGCUGGGGGAGCAAACCGGAUUAGAUACCCGGGUAGUCCCAGCCGUAAACGAUGCAGACUCGGUGAUGCGCUGGCUUGUGGCCAGUGCAGUGCCGCAGGGAAGCCGUUAAGUUUGCCGCCUGGGAAGUACGUACGCAAGUAUGAAACUUAAAGGAAUUGGCGGGGGAGCACCACAAGGGGUGAAGCCUGCGGUUCAAUUGGAGUCAACGCCGGA
RNAcentral lists this ribosomal RNA (914 nucleotides) under uncultured archaeon. RNAcentral describes it as "bacterial SSU rRNA". It matches the Rfam family "Archaeal small subunit ribosomal RNA", at positions 1 to 922 of the family's 1478-position model. The record is from RNAcentral.